GAGUUCAUGCCCUUCGGGGUAGACCUCCCACCCUUGAAUAUAUACCUUUGUUGCUUUGGCGGGCCGCUUCGGCUACUGGCUUCGGCUGGUGAGUGCCCGCCAGAGGACCCUAAAUUCUGAAUUAUAGUGUCGUCUGAGUACUAUAUAAUAGUUAAAACUUUCAACAACGGAUCUCUUGGUUCU
RNAcentral lists this unclassified non-coding RNA (183 nucleotides) under rhizosphere metagenome. RNAcentral describes it as "partial ribosomal RNA internal transcribed spacer region". The record is from RNAcentral.